GGGGAGAUCAUUAAUACAAAGCAUUGGAGUCGGUUUUGGAUUUUCACUUGUUGUUGGCUUUAAUAUGAACAGUCACAUAAAAUUCAUUCCAAUUUUUUGCCUUUGCUUCAAUUAGGAUGUUUCUUUAAAUCUACAACACCUUCCUUUUCGAAAAGUUUACUGACAUAGUAAAGAAGUAGCUAGGGAACUCAGUGAGUAUGAGCAACAAUAGCUUAAGGACACUAUGUCCAAUAAAGAGGAAUUCAUCAUCUGCAGUUCGUGAAAAAGCGCAAUAUUAAAAACAAUUCAGCAGACCCUCAGAGUGCGGAUACAUACUGUUUUCAGCUGUAGAGGUUAACUUCAUGCACUUAUCAACAUGUAGUUUAGAGGCUUGCAUUAGAGUGCUUUGGUGCUUGGGUAUCUUUUAUUUAGCAUGGUUGUACCGUUGUGAAUGUAGCUAUAUAAAUAAAUACGCUCAAGAGUCUAUCGUGUGUUUGACAUGCAACUAAAAAUUCGAAAAUAUAUUUUAAAUCAGUAACUUUGCAAAUUUAGAGGAUUUGUUUUCGGACAACAUAUGUGUCACAUUUUAAACAGGGUUUGUAUAAUCAGCACUGACAUACAGACAUUUAUGUGCUGGGUAUAACAGACAUGCUUACCGUGUGAAAGGCCCACCGAUGUCUUGGAGCAGAGAAACACGCUGUAUUGUUGCUUUUCUCUGUUGUAUAAGCAGCGCCCGUAGGUCAGAAACGCUGUGUGCGGGUAGCACAGUCGGCUCCAACGCACAUCCAGGCAUCCGUCUGAAAGAAAGGUGUCGCUGCAGCUAGGCUCUCAGGAUAGUCAUGCUUUUAUUUAUAUUUGCAUUCUGGUGCGUUAAACUAGCAGCCUCUGUGUCCCGCUUGGAUCAUCAUUCCGAAAAUUCAGAUAUUUAAAUAAAAUGGCGAAUUGGCUAGUGAUGAGGAAAGAAUAUGUGUUUGUUUGUUUUUAGAAGUAUCACAGUUUAUUUCUAAAGGAAUACAUGUUAUUUGUGACACUGUUUGAAAACUAAUAGCCUCUGUGUGUUUCAGAGCCCUAAAGAAAAAAGCAAAAUACCCCUAAACUAGUUAAAUUAAAAGUAAAAUGCUCGUGCUGAUGAACGAAAGUGUUAUGCUCUCAAGGACCGAUGUAAAGGGUUAGUGUGGCUGCUUAGGGCAUUUUUAUAUAGGUGUGGGGCUUGGUUUCAGCUGGCCUCUGAGAUGCAGAGAUAAAGGUGUAAACAAAGGUGAUGCCUGUUUGGAGGAUGGUCAGUACAAAGUGUAAUGGCAUGAUAAAAGGUGAACGUGUAAUGGUGGCACCGAUGGACCUAGCACAGCCGGACCUCUGCCAUAAGAUAAAGGAGACUGUUUGUAUUGAAAACUAUGGCAGUACAAUUGAGAUGCUGUUGAUAAGGAUGGCCUCUUCUGCUGACUGUAGGGGGUCUAACUGUAACCCCCUCUGUCUAAAUGUUGCAGAAUUAAGAAUCCCUGUUUAUUUCUAAAGGAAUGCCUGCUGUUUGUGGUAUUCUGUUUGAAACUAUUAGCCUCUGUGUGUGAAUAUGUGUUUUUAGAAGGUGGAAAAAACUUUCUGUUUAAAAACUAUUAGCCUCUGUGUGUUUCAGAGCCCUAAAGAAAAAAGCAAAAUGCUCCUAAAACAGUUACAUUAAAUGCUGUGUGUGAAUAUGUGUUUUUAGAAGGUGGAAAAAACUUUCUGUUUAAAAACUGUUAGCCUCUGUGUGUGUUUCAGAGCCCUAAAGAAAAAUACCCCUAAACUAGUUAAAUUAAAUCAUCUAUGUCUAAAUAACAGAACUCUGAGACCUAUACAAUCCUUUAAAAAAGAGUUUAAGUAAAACACAUAAUGGUUUCAUUAAAUAAAACGCUAUUAAACACAUGUAAACAUAUGAUCUCUGAACUGCAAAGUCCGUUCACGCGCACAUGCACACGCAAGGUCCGUUCGCGCACACAUGGACGCGGAGGGGGAUGCGGGUGGGGGUGUGGGGGGUGAGGGGUGGGGGGGGGGCAAAAAAAGCUAUAGGUAUAUUACUACUCUCAGAGGUACACAGUCGAAUACCUUCUCCAAGUCUACAAAACACUGGUUGGGCAAAGUCCCAUGCACCCUCAAGAAUCUUCGUCUCAGGUCUCAUGCAUCCUUUUAUUGCGAUUCCGCUGGAAGACCCGUCUCUGCUAACAGGUUAUGGGCCCAGUAACCAGUGUUGGAUGGAGGAUCACUAACAGGAGCGUGGGAAGACUCCAGAAUCCACUCUGGCUGGAAUCCGGUGGAUACAGCAGUGUUACAGAACAGUUCUCCACAGUCGCUGUCCACAUGGGUCAGUGGGACCAAGAAGCACUCUGCUAAUGUGAGACUCUGACCAGCAACAUCCAGCAAGACCCAGACAGCGUUUUCUAUCUCCCAGCUGGAGUUUUUUGUUUGUCUGUGACUGGAGAGUCAGAUUUUUGUUGAAGCUGGAGAAACAGAGAGGUUAAUACACGCUACUGAUCCCUGAUGGGAGAAUCAUCACCUCUGCCAACAAAGAAGCCUGGUGGAUGUUUGUUUGCAGUCUGAUGAUGGGACACCAUGCUCUGCAUCUUCAAAGUUUGUCUCUUGAUUAUUAUUCAUACACAGUAAUGUGAAGUAUGCUUAUAUCUAGUAUAACUGGACCAACCUGGUGCUCUUCAUUUAUGGAGGCUGUUGAGUCUGAAUGUUGGGUGUUGUGUAUCUCGUGUUCUCUGGGCUUUGUUGUCCUCAGUCUUUUUGCAGGAUCAGAAAACAAAACCAGGAGGCGCGCAAAUGUUUCUUCUCCAAUUGGAUGAUGAUAAGACUGUGACACGGGAUGCCACCUUUAGUCUUGUGAUGAAGCAAAGCUCAGGAAGAAGUGUGAUUAAAUGGUACCCACAUGUGUGCUGCUGAGAAGGAUGUACAGGGGCACCUGCAGCCAAAUCCAAGCCUCCUCAGCAACUUCAGGUCUGUCAGCGUGCUGAGGUCACAGAAACAAGAAAAGCAGGUUGACUUCAGAGUGUUGUUUACAGUUUUCUGUCAUCAUGAUCUCCCCUGAAGUUUAUCACUAUUAUACAAGCAAGCAGAGCGGCAGUUUGUGCUCACAGAUGGUGACGGUGUGGAGAGACGGUGGUGUUUCCUCAGAAGAACUAGCAGAGUCACAAAGGGCACGAGUCCAUCUCACCACCUUGACUUGUUGAUCAGUGGAUACACUUGUCUCCCCUUUAAAGGAGACACUCUUAGAGAGAGAUGAUCCGAGUCAUCACUAAAUAUGGACAGGAUAUCACUAUUAGACUGUCUAACCUGCCGGAGCAGCACUGAAUGACCACCACACAUGAUCAGUUCCUGCAACAUUCAGCAGCUCUGCUUUUGUGUCAAAUGUCCAACAGCUGGAGAGGAGACUAAACCAGUGUACUGGGAUGUUUCACCAACACGUGCCAGACGCUGUUCCUUCAUGGUGACAUCACCAGAGACGGCCCCGCCCACCUCAGGACCUCGUCAUUGAUCAUGAUGAUUUUAAUGAUGACAGCGAGUGGAACUAAGACUGUAAAAAUCAGAAUGUUUAGAUGCUUUCUAAUUAUUAAUGAAUACUGAGAGCCUCUUUCUGUGUUUUGUCUGUUUUGUUUGUUUUUUUACCUCAUUUGUUACUAACAAAGUUCACCAAACUCACACAGUUUACAUCCUGUAUGUUUCCAUCUUUACCAGCCACACUCUUAACUGCAUUUAAGAAAACAAACCGUAGAAAUUGUCGUUUUUCUCUUUUGUAAUUUUGUAAUUCAGUGAAUAUACUGCACUGCUUCCUUUAAUUGCGUCUCACAUUGCUUUAAGUUUUUCCAGUGUCCAGUUAUUUUUUACUGUUGUUUGAAUUCUCUGUAUGUUUGACCCUGUAGACUGUUUAAUGGACUGCUUGUCUUCCUGUUUGUAACCGACGCCUGUUUUUGACUAAAGAUUUGGAUUUCUG
Molecule: long non-coding RNA, 3946 nt
Organism: Oreochromis aureus
Lineage: Eukaryota; Metazoa; Chordata; Actinopteri; Cichliformes; Cichlidae
Source: Ensembl